Long non-coding RNA from Limanda limanda (common dab), 1763 nucleotides. RefSeq lists it as uncharacterized. The record is from RefSeq and is a predicted model, not a curated record. The transcript has 2 exons. Lineage: Eukaryota; Metazoa; Chordata; Actinopteri; Pleuronectiformes; Pleuronectidae.
ACAGGAGCCAGAGAAGUCAUGCAGUUCGUUUCUGGCAGACCUGACGACAGCUUUCGACACACACAGUGGGCUUGUCAGACCUGACCCAAUGGGCAGACCUGUGGAGCCCUGUGAAGUCUGGCUGAAAGAACAUCACCUGAGCAGAAUGAAGCCUGAAUUGGCACAGAUAGUGAAGAAAUCCUGUGUAACUUGGAAAACUUGCCCACACGCAGAUAUCCUGCAGCUUUCUGAACACGCUGAGGAUGAGUUGUUCGGCAGAGAUGAGCAAAGGAAACAGCGCAGCUCCUGGUUCUUUCUCCUCUCCAGACUCCGGACCACAGGUGAAGGUUGCAGCAGGGUUAACAGUGAACCCGAGAGCUGGUUCCGAGAUGGGCUGACUGUGCGGUGCCAACGAGCUGCGUGUGCGUUUGGCUGGCAAAGGAUCCUCCAGUUUGGGGACAUCUGUGACCAGCACUUCAGAAGAUGAAUCAGCUGGACGUUUUCUGGUUGGAAGGUAUUUGUCUUUGGGAGACAAAGGAAAAAAGGAAAAAACUUAAAUUUAGUACAGAUUAGAGAAGGUAAAUAAUUUUGUGUCCUUGAUAAAUGUGCGCGUGUUGUGUGUGAAUAGAAACAGAAACACACAGGCAGGCACGCACACAAUUAAGUAUUGAUAAAUUAAAGUUAAAUUUACUUGGCCGGUGGGACUGUGGAGUACAGACUGGUAGGGACAAAACACUGCUUUCCUCAUCUUUCCUGAUUCUUGUCACCAUGUGAAAAGCUACAAGAAACAAUCAGCACAGUUGACACUAGUUACUGUUUAGUCACUUACACCAGCAGGUGUGACACAGCUGUGAAUGAAACCUACUGCUACCUUCACUGAAUGGAGCCGUCCGCACGCGUUCAAACAGCUCAGGUCCAAGCAGCACACGCUUUGUGAGAGAAAACAGUCAGAGGAGAGAAUAUUUAUUUCCACUUUGUGCAUUCAAUUAUAUUAUUUAUUGUGAAAUCAGUAAAAGAGACAACUAUACAUCUGUGUUUAUAAAAAUCCAACAAAUCCCUUUUGAUAAAGCUUCUAGUUAGAGCUGGUUCAGGUCUGUCCUGGUCUUGCUCUUAGUUAUGCCGCUAGAGGCCUAGAUUGUCAAGGACACAUGGAGCAUCUUCUUCCUCACAUUAAUGUAUUUUUCUGACUUGACUUCUUCCCUGGAUUCCUUGUGCUUCAUCAUUGCAGAUGUAGGAUCAUGGCUUUGGUUUUGGAUUAUGAUUACAACUAGAAUGCUUAGAUAUCUAAUAUGCCUACUGACAUAUAAAACCAUUACUGGCAAUACCUCUAUCAUUACAUGGUAACGGUAAAUUAUUUAUAUCAAUAUACCGCUUUUCUUCUCUUGAUGACCACUCAAAGCACUUUACAGUAAAGUUUGGCCUUUACAUUACAACUGUCAUUGGUGCUCCCUUCAUCUGUAAGGCAUUUUCUUUUGUAUAAAUAGUAGAACAUUAAUACACAUCUCCAUUUAUCACUGUCAUUUCUCAUGAAUGUUAUAUUGUUACUUUGUUUGGGCAUAAGUUUUCUCUGUUAAAAGCAUUUCUGUUGUUUUUCCUCACUUUAAGGGCAGAGGAUGUCACACCUAUGAGACAAAUUGGGAUUUAGGAAUAUGACCUAUACAAAUAAAAUAUGGAUGAUCUAUUUGAAAUGAUUUUUUGCUGACACAUGUGUAACAUAUUGACCUGAUACGUUACCCGUUCAUUUACCUUGUAAAUAAAGUCUCUUUUUGAGAGUUUCGCCACCA